CGGAAUUACUGGGCGUAAAGCGUGCGUAGGCGGUUUCUUAAGUCUGCUGUGAAAUCCCCGGGCUCAACCUGGGAAUGGCAGUGGAUACUGGGAGGCUAGAGUGUGUCAGAGGGUGGUGGAAUUCCCGGUGUAGCGGUGAAAUGCGUAGAGAUCGGGAGGAACAUCAGUGGCGAAGGCGGCCACCUGGGACAACACUGACGCUGAGGCACGAAAGCGUGGGGAGC
This 224-nucleotide ribosomal RNA is filed under the name uncultured bacterium. Its description in RNAcentral is "partial 16S ribosomal RNA". It matches the Rfam family "Bacterial small subunit ribosomal RNA", at positions 546 to 769 of the family's 1533-position model. The record is from RNAcentral.